GAUGAAGAACGUAGCGAAAUGCGAUAAGUAAUGUGAAUUGCAGAAUUCAGUGAAUCAUCAAAUCUUUGAACGCAUCUUGCGCUCCUUGGUAUUCCGAGGAGCAUGCCUGUUUGAGUGUCAUUUUGAACUCUCAAAGCCCACGUUUUGACGUGGCUUUGGACUUGAGGGCUUUUGCAGGCUUUUGAUACAGAAAGCCUGCUCCCUUGAAAAUCAUCAGUGGUAUCUGGAGCGGAAACCGCUAGGUGUUGAUAACAUUCAUCUAUGCCUUUGGGUAUGCCGCGUAAAAUGUGCUGCUUCCACCCACCCCAUGCUCUUUGACAAACUUGACCUCAAAUCAGGUGGGACUACCCGCUGAACUUAAGCAUAUCAAUAAGCGGAGGA
Molecule: unclassified non-coding RNA, 381 nt
Filed under: soil metagenome
Description: partial contains 5.8S ribosomal RNA, internal transcribed spacer 2, and large subunit ribosomal RNA
Rfam family: 5.8S ribosomal RNA (bases 1-120)
Source: RNAcentral